RNAcentral lists this ribosomal RNA (497 nucleotides) under uncultured bacterium. RNAcentral's name for it is "partial 16S ribosomal RNA". It matches the Rfam family "Bacterial small subunit ribosomal RNA", at positions 28 to 507 of the family's 1533-position model. The record is from RNAcentral.
GAUGAACGCUGGCGGCGUGCCUAAUACAUGCAAGUCGAGCGAACAGACGAGGAGCUUGCUCCUCUGACGUUAGCGGAGGACGGGUGAGUAACACGUGGAUAACCCACCUAUAAGACUGGGAUAACUUCGGGAAACCGGAGCUAAUCCCGUAGAAGAUAUUGAACCGCAUGGUUCAAUAGUGAAAGUCGGCUUUGCUGUCACUUAUAGAUGGAUCUGCGCCGCAUUAGCUAGUUGGUAAGGUAACGGGUUACCAAGGCGACGAUGCGUAGCCGAACUGAGAGACGGAUCGGCCGCCCGGGAACUGGGACGGCGUCAAGGCUCCUACGGGAGGGAGCAGUAGGGAAUCGGCCGCAGUAGGCGAAAGCCUGACGCAGCGACGCGACGUCAGUUAUAGAGGUCUUCGGAUCGUGAUGCUCUGUUAUUGGGGGAAAACAAAUUUGUAAGUAAAUAUACACGUCUUGACGGUACCUGGUCAAAAAGCCACGGCUAACUACGUG